UAAAACUAAUUUAAAUGAUAAAAUAAUCAAAAUUUUCGAAAUAUUUCAAAGUUUGAAUCCAUCGUUGAUCGGCAUAUAUAUAUAUAUACACGAUCAUUCUUAUCCAGGAAGAUUACAGGUAAUUUCAUAUUAAUGUGAAGUGUGAACUAAUAUUUAAAGACUUAGACAAAGGUACGUUGACUUAGGAAGUCAUCCUAAGAAACCAACAAAAUUAAUGACUACAUACAUCAUAGUACCUUAAAAUUCAAAAUUAAUCUAUAAAGCAGAGCAUUUUCUAGGCGAUGUUUGAGACUAAUAAUUUUAAGAAGGGUUAUUCUACUGUUUCUACCGAUGAAGCCUAGCUCAAAUGGUAAAACUGAUACACCAAAAGCACUCUCUUUUAUGAGAGAUUUUGGGUUCAUUCUCACAUGCAUGCGGUGUAGUUUUUUCACUUUGUGUGGAUAGUGUUCUCAUAUUUGUGGGGGUAGUGAUCCCGCUUGCGUAUGGUUAUCUUUCCACUGUACCCGCUUACGUGCGAAUUGCUUAUUUGUUUAUAUUUAGAUAUUUCUUGUAAAAAAAAGGUUAUUCUUAAAUGGAAUUCAUUAUAGUUUAUAGCCCAAAUUUUACAAUAAUUUGCAAAAAUAGUCUGAAUUUUGAAAAUGUAAAAACAAUGUCUUAAUCUUUAUGAAAAUUAUAUAAAAAAAAUUCUAAAUCCUAAGUUCCUAACCUAAACCCAAAAUAUUUAAAUUUGAAUUAGAUUUAAAAUCCAACCCUCAUCAAACUAUUUUGCAUAAUGAAAUCGAACCAUAAAUUUUGAUUUGGUUCGAUUUGGUUCAAUUUGAUUUGAUUAAAACUGAUUUUUUAUUUUCAUGCUUGAAUUUGCUUUGAGCAAAAUUGACAUACACGCGCGCGCACGCACACACAUAUAUUUAGGGAUGCACUCCAAUGAGUUCACCUACGUGUUAGAUCUAAGAUAGAAUAAUAACCAUAGGAUUUGAUAGAUCCAACCGUGUAGCUUUUUUUGUAAAUUUUAUAAUCAGAUUUUUAAUAUCUGAUUUCUUUUGCGUUCACACUAUCAAAAGGAGUAUCUAGUAAAAUGCUCAAAAAACUCGUCUUACCACUGCC
This 1104-nucleotide long non-coding RNA is filed under the name Salvia miltiorrhiza (redroot sage). Its description in RNAcentral is "long non-coding RNA (SMIL_LNC010814)". Lineage: Eukaryota; Viridiplantae; Streptophyta; Magnoliopsida; Lamiales; Lamiaceae. The record is from RNAcentral.